AUUGAACGCUGGCGGCAUGCCUUACACAUGCAAGUCGAACGGCAGCACGGGUGCUUGCACCUGGUGGCGAGUGGCGAACGGGUGAGUAAUACAUCGGAACAUGUCCUGUAGUGGGGGAUAGCCCGGCGAAAGCCGGAUUAAUACCGCAUACGAUCCACGGAUGAAAGCGGGGGACCUUCGGGCCUCGCGCUAUAGGGUUGGCCGAUGGCUGAUUAGCUAGUUGGUGGGGUAAAGGCCUACCAAGGCGACGAUCAGUAGCUGGUCUGAGAGGACGACCAGCCACACUGGGACUGAGACACGGCCCAGACUCCUACGGGAGGCAGCAGUGGGGAAUUUUGGACAAUGGGCGAAAGCCUGAUCCAGCAAUGCCGCGUGUGAAGAAGGCCUUCGGGUUGUAAAGCACUUUUGUCCGGAAAGAAAUCCUUGACUCUAAUACAGUCGGGGGAUGACGGUACCGGAAGAAUAAGCACCGGCUAACUACGUG
RNAcentral lists this ribosomal RNA (484 nucleotides) under uncultured bacterium. RNAcentral's name for it is "partial 16S ribosomal RNA". It matches the Rfam family "Bacterial small subunit ribosomal RNA", at positions 30 to 507 of the family's 1533-position model. The record is from RNAcentral.